RNAcentral lists this ribosomal RNA (446 nucleotides) under uncultured bacterium. RNAcentral's name for it is "partial 16S ribosomal RNA". It matches the Rfam family "Bacterial small subunit ribosomal RNA", at positions 338 to 795 of the family's 1533-position model. The record is from RNAcentral.
CCUACGAGUGGCAGCAGUCGAGAAUCAUUCACAAUGGGGGAAACCCUGAUGGUGCGCCGCCGCGUGGGGGAAUGAAGGUCUUUGGAUUGUAAACCCCUGUCAUGUGGGGGCAAAUUAAAAAGCUAGUACCACACGAGGACGAGACGGCUAACUCUGUGCCAGCAGCCGCGGUAAUACAGAGGUCUCAAUCGUUGUUCGGAAUCACUGGGCGUAAAGCGUGCGUAGUCUGUUUCUUAAGUCGUGUGUGAAAGGCGCGGGCUCAACCCGCGGACGGCACAUGAUACUGCGAGACUAGAGUAAUGGAGGGGGAACCGGAAUUCUCGGUGUAGCAGGGAAAUGCGUAGAUAUCGAGAGGAACACUCGUGGCGAAGGCGGGUUCCUGGACAUUAACUGACGCUGAGGCACGAAGGCCAGGGGAGCGAAAGGGAUUAGAUACCCUAGUAGUC